Molecule: non-coding RNA, 1416 nt
Organism: Oryctolagus cuniculus (rabbit)
Lineage: Eukaryota; Metazoa; Chordata; Mammalia; Lagomorpha; Leporidae
Source: RefSeq, a predicted model, not a curated record
CCAGCCCCUGUGCUUCCAGUCCCAACUUCCUGCGGAGGAAGCACACCCUGCAAAAUGCCGGUGAGGACUCAGAUCCUGGGAUUCCUGUCACCUGUGUGGGCUCCUGCUCCCAGCUUGGCCGAGCGCUGACUGCUAGACAGUUAGGGAGUGUGCCAUGGAUUGAAAGAUCUCUCCCUUCUCUCUAUCUCUUUCUCCCUCUUUCUCUCCUCCUCUUUUCUGCCUUUCACGUAAAACAAAGAUAAAAUAACACACUUUUACAAGAUGAAGAAAAUUUCUUCCUACUACAUUUUAUUUUUCAGAGGUACAGCAAUUUGAAAAGCUGGAGCCUAUAAAAGCACAGAGGUAAGUGUUUGGUUCAUGGUUAAGACGCUUGUUUAGGAACCCAUAUCCUAUAUUGACCUGCCUGAGUUUGAUGCCCAGCUCUGACUCCUGACUUCAGCUUCCUGCUAACGUAGAGCCUGGAAGACAGCCAUGGUAGAUCUACUGGUUAGUUUUCUGCCACUCCUAUGGGAGAUGUAGAUUGAGUUCCCAGCUCCUGGCUGCAGCCCCAGCUGUAUCAUUGCAGAUGCUGAGAAGUGAACCAGCAGAUGGUAACUGUCUUCUGCAUGUCUCUCUGUCCCUCUGCCUUUCAAAUGGAUGGAUGGAUGGAUGGAUGAGUAACUAAAUAAGUAAUAAAAGUGUAUGUCAGGGAGUUAUGGCAGAAUAAAUGAAAGAUACGUGGGAACAGACCCAUUAUAUUUUGCCAGAAAACAGGCAACUUCAUAAUUUCAAAUAAUGUGCAAUUUAAUUAGGAUUCAUAAGGGGCAGGAUGAAUGACUGGGAGCUUGGAAUGAUCUCAAAGGCCUCUUAAUCUGUCUGUCUCCCAGAUGACAAAGAUUCAAACCUCCAGGACCGGAACACCUGAGUGUCUCCAGAGAUUAUGUUUUUUGUGAUCUCUGCACCUCUUUUUCUCCACUGGUGAUUUCAAAGUAGCCAGAUUAACUCGUUUCCCGACUCUAAGGUGCACGUUUCGAGAAAUGGCUACAGCAGAAGCUGCAGUGCCUUCGUGUCCCAGCACCCUGUCUGCUCCAGUCCCUCAGCACAGGCAGACACAGAGGUCUGUGUAGUUCAAGAAGAGGGACGAGACCUCACUUCUCAGAGGAGGACCGGACAAGAACUAGCAAAUCCCCGACCAUCUACAUUCCAUAAUCUCAGCACUUGAUGAAAUUGAUGCCUUCGUCAAACAAGCCACCGGUGGACUGGGGCAGCAGGUGGUGACCAGGAGCGACAACUCUGAAGUCACUCUCCUGCUUUCUACAACAAAAGACCAAAGUCUGUGUGACUUUGCCAGACCUUCAUGAUUGGUAAUGGCACCGAGCCUAUAGAUCAAUUUGGAAUAAAUUGCCAGCCUAACAAUGUUAAAUCUUCCAAUUCACU